Long non-coding RNA from Cryptomeria japonica (Japanese cedar), 4405 nucleotides. RefSeq lists it as uncharacterized. The record is from RefSeq and is a predicted model, not a curated record. NCBI's taxonomy places the organism in Eukaryota, Viridiplantae, Streptophyta, Pinopsida, Cupressales, Cupressaceae. The transcript has 2 exons.
GGAAAUUCAUAACCUAAAUAAAAACUCAAAUUCAUAACCUAAGUAAAUUCUCACCCUUACCAUCUUUUUACUUAUAUUUUCAAAUGUUUGAAGAUCUGACGGCGCUGUAGGAGAUUCAACAUUAUUUUGCUGAGGUUUCAUGGCAGUAUUAUGCAAUUGCAAUGUGCAGGCUGUCAGGUUUUAUCUGAGCCAUUUCCUUGUGAUAUUUGACAAGUUUGCACUUAUGUACUUUUUUCCUUGAGCAGAGAUGAUAAAGCACAGUUAUUUUUUCGCCAAAAUGAUAAAAUUUUAGUGAUCACUAGAUAAGAAAUCGCUGCCAUUUAUGAGGGUCAAAUUUCUGCUUGAAAGAUUAAAUAAACUAAGAGUUUAUAAGUUCCACUAUAAAUGGUUAACAUAUUAUUUAAAAUUAAAAAUUCCAAUAACUCAUUUAAAAAUAUUAGUUUCAUCGCCUUUCCAAUGGCUUUUUUUCUUAUCCUUUAACAUGGGUGCCAUUACUGUUCAUUCUUUUGCUUUCGAUUUCCUUUGUCUUUUCCUCUACAUGAAUAAGAAACUUCUGCUGGGAGAUGAUGGUGGUUUUUCCGCUGGUGAGAAUGAGAUGCUGAGGAAUCAUUAAAUGAUGGCUAUUCUUUCUUGUGAAAACUUGGUAGCAAAUGUUUCAGAAUGGAAAUGUUAACUUUUUUGAUUGUAGCAGAAUUAUCUGUAGCUUUUUAAAUGAUGGAAGCUUUUUCUGGUGGGACUCACUCGAGGACAGGAACUUGCUGAAGUGUUAUUUGAUAGAGAUAAAGUUGGAUUCCUCUAGAAAUGUCACUCGAUUGCCUGGGUUUGUUCAGGAUGAAUCCACAGCCCACAAAAGUGCCCUGGCAGGAUCUCCAUUCAAAUUGGCACAAAUUCUGGACUACUUUUGAACCCACAGGCCAGUAAAAGUGCCCGGUAGAAACCCUGCUCAAAUUGGCCCAAAACUCAGACCAGGUUUGAACCUGACCUAUAUCUGGGAAAUGCAGGGGAUGAAUUGGCAACUUAGAUGUGCAAUGCUGCAACCCAUUCAAAUUUAUAACGAAGAGGUCAUCCCUGAACCUGUGACUGCGGUUGAGAUGCAGAGCAGUUUUUUUCCUCAUUAUGGUAUGUAUCAUCCAAAGUAUCUAAACUUUGGCUCAGGUGAUGGCAAACAUACACAUUGUUCAUACUAGAUUAAGAAAUCAGUUGCCCCCUAUUUAUACUAGUCCUCAACCAAUUUCCCAAGUGUAUCCAGUUUCUGAAAUUUAUCAGAUGAAUGCUAGGGCCAGAGCUUCUUGAACAAGUGGGCUGUUUCCUGAUACUCGAACUUAAGUCUUCCAGUUUCUUCCAUGGAAUUCCAGCUCCAGGAGGGACACGAAUCAAGUUCUUCCAAUAGAAACUCAGGAAAUUAGGCCUUCCUUAACAAACCUGUUGAAAAUCCAAGCACUGCAUCUACAUUCAUCGCUAUCAUUAUUGAAAUGGAUGCAUCUCUCUAGAGAAAUGAAAACUUGGAGAAGGGGUAACAACCCCUAUCUGGCUGUUUGUUUGGUGAGGCUCCUUCCUGGGUUUCAAAAGCAACUGGAGUACAUUGACAUCAUGAACACUUGUAUUUAUCAGAUGGCCACUAUUAUUGAGUAGCACAAGCAAAAACUAGAGGUGACAAAUAGUGGUCUUCUUUCAGAAAAUGGAAAGAGAAGGUUUGCCAUCUUGCAGAUAUGAUACAGCAACAGGCUGAGCUUGCACCAUAUACAAAAAGGCAGGUUACUCAUGCAAAAAUUCAACUGCUACUAGAGCAUGGUGUGCAAGAUUCUACAAAUAUAAAACCACCUCUGCUAAUCCAGCUUGGACAGCCCAAAGCAGCAUUGAUGCAAGUAACUCUGUCCUUCCUGCUCAUGGAGUGCCAGUGGCACAUACUUAAAUUAAUUUUCUGUAAAAAUAUAAGUAUUUUGUCUCUGCCCUGGCCAUGAAAGGAAUGGAAUUGAUUUUUUGUCGCAACACAAAUAUUUUAUCUCUGCCCUGACCAUAUGAGGAAGGACAUUUCAUUCAUUCAGUCAGGGUAUUUGAAGUAGCAAAAUGUAUGUUGCUCUACAUAUAAGGAAAUUUUACAUAUAGUUUACAACUACUGUGAAUAAGCAUAAAGGCAUAUCUAGUGAUUUGGAUAACCAGUGGAUCCAGAGGAAGGCACAACAAACUCAAAAAUCAAGAGUUCUCAUAGGUCAACGUUAUUUUAAUAUAUAUGCGGAAAUUAUAGAGUAGCUGAUAUCUGUCCUUGAGGCAUCUGACUGCAGUACCUGCACCAUUUAUAUCAAUAUAAUAUAAUAUUUUACAUUUUAUCAAUUUCUUUUGUCGGAUAUGUGGUACUAACCAUUAAUUAUAUUUUGAUACAAAUGCUAUUUGAAAAUAAAUUUUCAGGUUGCAGAAAUAGCUGACAGCUUGAUCUAAUUUUAAAGUCAUAUUUAGUUAUUGGACUAAAACAAAGCAAUUGCAAGCUCAAGGCACAUGGUUUUGGCUGUUUUGUCUUAAGGUUUGUGCUCAUAAUUUGUGAUGGGAAUGCAAAACUAGUAUUUAUAUGCAAAUCCGGUUGUAAGUUGUCCAACUUUCCAGCUGUAUUUAGGUUGGUGUCAAUGCUUGAUUGAGCUGGUGUAUUUAUUGUUUUCAUUUGGGUUUCAAUUUAUAAUUAACUGUGCGAGACUAUCUAAUGUGCAUCAAGAUACACCUCCUCUUCAAGUUGUUAGUUGAGGUCAAUAAUGAUGCAAAAGUAAUCUUACUGGUAUAUCAGACUCUAUGAUGGAGGAGAUUUCGGAGUUUAUUUCUGCCAGUUACAUUUCAAUGCAACAAUUUUUGAAUAAUAUUUAUUUUUACCUUGGAAAGAGGAGCUUGAUAAUAAAAGGAGCCUUUUUUGAACUUGUUUUUUAAACAUCUACUGUUUCUGUUUUGACUAUUACCUCUAUUAUGUUUGUCCACUUGUGUUGUUCCUGACCUGUGAUACAUCGGGUAAGGUCUAUUUGGUAAGCCAAUUAAUAGAUGGUGCCAAGAAUAAACUCUUUGAUAGGCAGGGCAUACUAGAGAUCCAUAUAAGAUGCACUCCAGUUGAGUUAUCAACAGUGUUCCAUGGGGAUGCCUCCCUGGGGUCCAGGGAUGUCUCUCGGGACUUGGAGGGGAUGUCCUCGUUUUCAGAAGUGGACAUCCCCCCUCCAAGUCGCUGAAACCAUGCCCCCCUGUCUUUGAAUCUCUAUCCAAAGUAACAUAGAGAAACGUUGCUUAUAAUCAUUUGCAAAUGGGAUGAAUACACAAUAUUGCAAUUGUCGUGGGUGGUUCAUUUAUCCUGCUUCAUUUCCUCUACUGGACUGACAUUUCUGAUUUUAUAUAUUAAAUAUUUAGUUAGUGCUUCAAGGUAUCAGUAGAUCAGGGUUAAGUGUAUUUGAAGUUUUCCAGCUGUAUAAGGUUAGUUUGAAUGUGUACUUGUAGCAGUCAUUAUCAUCCCAACCGAUGUUAGGUUUAACCAUAUUAGUUGUACUGUUUUAGAGUUCAGUCAUGGAUGUAUUCGGAGAGACCUGCCGUUCUCAUAAAGUAAGAUUGCAGAUAAAAUCCUGUGCUUUUGGUUAGUCAAGUUAGAAUAUAAAAUUAUUGAAGAAAUUGAAUAUUUAUAAUUAUCUUCAAAUCUAUCGUGGGAACAAAUGUUGAAAUACUGCAUACAAACAAAUCUGUUUUCUGGAAGGAAACGUAAUUAUCAAGGGAUCAGCCAAGUGUUCCACUUAAUUUGUGUAGGCCUCAAGGGAUCUGCCAAGUGUUCCACUUAAGUUGUGUAGGCCUCAAUUUUUGAAGCCUCUUCAUCUAGGUUAUGCUUAGUUACCCAAAUUUCUCUUCCCACACUGUCUGGGUCUCUUGGCACUCAAUCUGCUCAUCUCACUUGGCUUGCCUUGGAUUCUGUCAAGUUUUUAUGUUUGUUGAUACACAACAUUCUGAUUCUGUUUGAGAGUAAUUGAUGGAUCAUCCAUUUACAAUAAAUGUAUUGACAAUUUAUUAUAAGCCACGAAGGGACUUUUGCAACUAAUCAAGCUAUUGCUGGGAGGCAUUCCAUGGUGGUUCAGCUGAGAAACAUGAGAUUUUGAUUAUGCCAGAAAGUGUGCUCAAAAAAGUAAAUUUCAGCGUGAUGCUGUGAAACACAGACUGAAAGUCAUGUUUCUUCUGUACAAUGCUAUAUGUUGGCCCUUUGUAAUUUUUAUUAGUUUGGGAUGUAAUUCUCUUUCAGCUGUUGGUUGUAUCUGCUGCCAUUUGAUGCUUUAUUGUAAAACAUUUUAAUUUGUGUUGUAUUCUCUUUCAGCUACUUUCUGUAGCUAUUAUUGUUUGUAUUCUUUCUUUGAUUCAGUAUAAAAAAUGAAAAUUUCAUUUAGCACAAAUGCUGCUAUUA